RNAcentral lists this ribosomal RNA (1364 nucleotides) under uncultured bacterium. RNAcentral describes it as "bacterial SSU rRNA". It matches the Rfam family "Bacterial small subunit ribosomal RNA", at positions 28 to 1381 of the family's 1533-position model. The record is from RNAcentral.
AUUGAACGCUGGCGGCAGGCCUAACACAUGCAAGUCGAACGGUAACAGGAAGCAGCUUGCUGCUUUGCUGACGAGUGGCGGACGGGUGAGUAAUGUCUGGGAAACUGCCUGAUGGAGGGGGAUAACUACUGGAAACGGUAGCUAAUACCGCAUAAUGUCGCAAGACCAAAGAGGGGGACCUUCGGGCCUCUUGCCAUCGGAUGUGCCCAGAUGGGAUUAGCUAGUAGGUGGGGUAAAGGCUCACCUAGGCGACGAUCCCUAGCUGGUCUGAGAGGAUGACCAGCCACACUGGAACUGAGACACGGUCCAGACUCCUACGGGAGGCAGCAGUGGGGAAUAUCGCACAAUGGGCGCAAGCCUGAUGCAGCCAUGCCGCGUGUAUGAAGAAGGCCUUCGGGUUGUAAAGUACUUUCAGCGGGGAGGAAGGGAGUAAAGUUAAUACCUUUGCUCAUUGACGUUACCCGCAGAAGAAGCACCGGCUAACUCCGUGCCAGCAGCCGCGGUAAUACGGAGGGUGCAAGCGUUAAUCGGAAUUACUGGGCGUAAAGCGCACGCAGGCGGUUUGUUAAGUCAGAUGUGAAAUCCCCGGGCUCAACCUGGGAACUGCAUCUGAUACUGGCAAGCUUGAGUCUCGUAGAGGGGGGUAGAAUUCCAGGUGUAGCGGUGAAAUGCGUAGAGAUCUGGAGGAAUACCGGUGGCGAAGGCGGCCCCCUGGACGAAGACUGACGCUCAGGUGCGAAAGCGUGGGGGAGCAAACAGGAUUAGAUACCCUGGUAGUCCACGCCGUAAACGAUGUCGACUUGGAGGUUGUGCCCUUGAGGCGUGGCUUCCGGAGCUAACGCGUUAAGUCGACCGCCUGGGGAGUACGGCCGCAAGGUUAAAACUCAAAUGAAUUGACGGGGGCCCGCACAAGCGGUGGAGCAUGUGGUUUAAUUCGAUGCAACGCGAAGAACCUUACCUGGUCUUGACAUCCACGGAAGUUUUCAGAGAUGAGAAUGUGCCUUCGGGAACCGUGAGACAGGUGCUGCAUGGCUGUCGUCAGCUCGUGUUGUGAAAUGUUGGGUUAAGUCCCGCAACGAGCGCAACCCUUAUCCUUUGUUGCCAGCGGUCCGGCCGGGAACUCAAAGGAGACUGCCAGUGAUAAACUGGAGGAAGGUGGGGAUGACGUCAAGUCAUCAUGGCCCUUACGACCAGGGCUACACACGUGCUACAAUGGCGCAUACAAAGAGAAGCGACCUCGCGAGAGCAAGCGGACCUCAUAAAGUGCGUCGUAGUCCGGAUUGGAGUCUGCAACUCGACUCCAUGAAGUCGGAAUCGCUAGUAAUCGUGGAUCAGAAUGCCACGGUGAAUACGUUCCCGGGCCU